CUUUGGUGACGAGCGGCGGACGGGUGAGUAAUGCUUGGGAACAUGCCUUGAGGUGGGGGACAACAGUUGGAAACGACUGCUAAUACCGCAUAAUGUCUACGGACCAAAGGGGGCUUCGGCUCUCGCCUUUAGAUUGGCCCAAGUGGGAUUAGCUAGUUGGUGAGGUAAUGGCUCACCAAGGCGACGAUCCCUAGCUGGUUUGAGAGGAUGAUCAGCCACACUGGGACUGAGACACGGCCCAGACUCCUACGG
RNAcentral lists this ribosomal RNA (252 nucleotides) under uncultured bacterium. RNAcentral describes it as "partial 16S ribosomal RNA". It matches the Rfam family "Bacterial small subunit ribosomal RNA", at positions 83 to 344 of the family's 1533-position model. The record is from RNAcentral.